Hemicordylus capensis (graceful crag lizard) is the source of this 347-nucleotide long non-coding RNA. RefSeq lists it as uncharacterized. The record is from RefSeq and is a predicted model, not a curated record. The transcript is spliced from 3 exons. NCBI's taxonomy places the organism in Eukaryota, Metazoa, Chordata, Lepidosauria, Squamata, Cordylidae.
AAGGAGGAGGCAGCCAGAGUGGCCACCACUGUUCUCUGCAGCAGAAGACCCCUUGCUGCCCUGCCAAACCCAGCAUUUGCCAGAGGUUCAAUAUUCUCCAUGUGCAAGCACUUGCUGCACCGAGGCACACCUAUGCAUCAAUGUAUAGCAAUGUGCCUAUACUAGAAGUUGCACACGUGUGCAUAGUCUUAUGAUGAAUUAUUCACUUCUACCGUCAGAGCCUGGAAUCUUGCAUCUCACCUGAUCUUUUUCUCUCCACCACCCCUGCUGCUGUUGCUGCCACCAGGGGGCUGUUAUAACUUUGAAUGCUGUUGCGAGGCGAGUUGUCCUCUGACUUGCAAUAUGUU